RNAcentral lists this ribosomal RNA (252 nucleotides) under uncultured bacterium. RNAcentral describes it as "partial 16S ribosomal RNA". It matches the Rfam family "Bacterial small subunit ribosomal RNA", at positions 526 to 779 of the family's 1533-position model. The record is from RNAcentral.
CAGAGGGUGCAAGCGUUAUUCGGAAUCACUGGGCGUAAAGAGUUCGUAGGCUGUUUACUAAGUCUUAUGUGAAAGCCCCAGACCUAAUCUGGGAAGUGCAUAAGAUACUGAUAGACUAGAGUGCAGGAGGGGAGAGCGGAAUUCCAGGUGUAGAGGUGAAAUUCGUAGAUAUCUGGAGGAACAACAGGGGGCGAAGGCGGCUCUCUGGACUGCAACUGACGCUGAGGACGAAGCAUGGGAGCAAACAGGAUU